Molecule: ribosomal RNA, 400 nt
Filed under: uncultured bacterium
Lineage: Bacteria
Description: bacterial SSU rRNA
Rfam family: Bacterial small subunit ribosomal RNA
Source: RNAcentral
UGGGGAAUAUUGGACAAUGGGGGCAACCCUGAUCCAGCCAUGCCGCGUGAGUGAAGAAGGCCUUAGGGUUGUAAAGCUCUUUCGCAGGGGAAGAUAAUGACGGUACCCUGAGAAGAAGCCUCGGCUAACUCCGUGCCAGCAGCCGCGGUAAGACGGAGGAGGCUAGCGUUGUUCGGAAUUACUGGGCGUAAAGCGUACGCAGGUGGUUAUUCAAGUCAGAUGUGAAAGCCCGGGGCUCAACCUCGGAAUUGCGUCUGAGACUGGAUAGCUAGAGGCCGGAAGAGGAGAGCGGAAUUCCCAGUGUAGAGGUGAAAUUCGUAGAUAUUGGGAAGAACACCAGUGGCGAAGGCGGCUCUCUGGUCCGGAACUGACACUCAAGUACGAAAGCGUGGGGAGCAAA